AACGAACGCUGGCGGCAGGCCUAACACAUGCAAGUCGAGCGCGCCCUUCGGGGUGAGCGUCGGACGGGUGAGUAACGGGAGGGAACGUUCACUCUUCUACGGAAUAGCUUCGGGAAAGUGAGAACAAUAGCGAACACGACCUAUGGCGGAAAGAUAUAUCGGAAAAGGUUGGGCCCGCGUUGGAUUAGGUAGUUGGUGGGGUAAUGGCCUACCAAGCCGACGAUGCAUAGCUGGUUUGAGAGGAUGACCAGCCACACUGGGGCUGGGACCCGGCCCAGACUCCUACGGGAGGGGGCAAUGGGGAAUGUUAGACAAUGGGGGCAACCCUGAUGUUGCCAGGCCGCGUGAGUGAUGUAGGCCUUAAGGUUGUAAAGCUCUUUCAACUGUGAAGAUAAUGACGGUACCUGCAGAGGAAGCCACGGCUAACUCCGUG
RNAcentral lists this ribosomal RNA (433 nucleotides) under uncultured bacterium. RNAcentral's name for it is "partial 16S ribosomal RNA". It matches the Rfam family "Bacterial small subunit ribosomal RNA", at positions 29 to 507 of the family's 1533-position model. The record is from RNAcentral.